UGGUGCAGCUUAGUCCCUCUUGGUUUUCAUUUCAGCUACAGUAUAUUAACAACCAAGCAUUUGUAGAAACACUCAUAGCAAUUUUAAGUGCAAUAGAGUAGCUGUGAAAUGCCUAUCAGAGACAUCUGCAAAGAAAUACAGAAGAGUGCAAGGUAUCAACUGCCUGAAGGUAACAACAGUUAUUAUUUCAUUUUCCUUGCAGCAUUGAAUACUUUUUAUGUCUACUAGCAGUACAAUGUGUCAUCUAAACUGCUUGCUAAGUUCACUUGACAACAAUCAAUAAUCAUAAACAAAUGCAAUGAUUAACGUUUCUUGAUCAGUAGACUUCAACAUGCCAUUGCUUGUUCUUUUUGAGUUGUGAAAGCUUCUGCUCCCAGCUCUCACCUCUCCUCUCAGCAACCCUCUUCAGGGUAUCUUGGAUUCCGGGCAUCAUCCCCUUCAACCCACAGAAGUACAUGUGGGCCCCUUCAUCCAGCAGUUUGAAGAUCUCAUCACUGUAUUCCUCAAUUUUAUCCUGGACAUACAUCUUUCCCCCUUUAUUGUUCUUUUGUUCACGGCUAAGAGCACGGUCAUAUCUGAAAUUGCCUGGGUAGUCAUUGAGAUACUUGGUGAACUCAUCGUCAUAUAGAAGGCUGUCAGUGUUUGCAACCCCAAGGAAAAGCCAAGCAAGGCCAUUAAACUUAGUUGGAACCGAUUCCAUGAACAUACGACGAAGGUAGCCUCGGAAGGGAGCCACACCAGUUCCAGUUCCUAUCAUGAUGUGUGUCGCAUUUGGAUUAUCUUCUGGUAGAAGCAUUAUCUUACCAGAAGGACCUGCAGAAACAUCCAAAGGGUGGUCAAUGGCGGACAAAACUGAAUCUCAAGUAUUUCACCAUAUAUAUGCAACCCACCAACAAAUUAUAAGAAUCCAAGUGCCAAAUGACAGAGACUAUUUAGAUGUAAAGUAUCAACAGGAGUUUUAAUUCUCAGCACGGUAUCUUAUUUAUUAGAAGCACAUGGUUAGAGCAAAAGGUGACAGUGUAGGAACACCGUUGAGUUAAGAAGUUCUUUAUUUGGGAAGUUUGUAACUGCAAAAGGGUUAGUUAUGCAAAAGUUAAAUCAAGAAGGACCAUACAACAGACUAAGGGAAGGGUCCUUUCUAAAUAAUAGCAAGGAAAUCACUAGUACAAAAUAGGCAUUUACGGAUUCAUCAUAUGAUUAGAGAUAGUCAAGGUAAAAAAUUCAAGAGAGAGUGCCAGACAAAACUCUGAUGCUUACUCUCAGGGGUUGUUUGAUUACCGGGAUAAGAAUACUAAUCCCGAGAUAGAAUAUGGGAUAGUGCCAGACAAAACUCUGAUGCUUACUCUCAGGGGUUGUUUGAUUACCGGGAUAAGAAUACUAAUCCCGAGAUAGAAUAUGGGAUUGUAUUUAUAUGUUUGGUUGUGGGUAUUCGUUAAUGGUGGGAUAAAUUUUAUAACAAAAUGGUAGGAUUAGCUAUCCCAUUUAGAAGGUGGAUAGCAAAUCUCAUGGGGUAUCCUUGUUUAUCCCACAAUUGAACCAAACGACUAGGAGUAAAAUAAGCAUAGCAGCUGGAAUUUACAAGUACACAAAGAAAAGGCAGAUAUCUUCAAUCUGUUAGGUGUACAACCUAAAUGGUCUACUGAACAACAUAAUCUCCUGUUGAAAAGACAAUUUUCAACACUAUGUUGCCUACAAGAUCAUUUCUUUUUCACUCUUUUAAAAUCUUGGGAAAACCUACUCAUUGGGCCAAAAUGCAAUUAAGGUGAUCAAAGAUGAAAAUUUUGGAAUGCAGUGCAUGGAAGACGAGUAGUGUUUGUAUGUAAAGUCUUCUUUGAAUAACAUCGGUAAAAGGACUACUUGGAUUUAACCUGUGAUCUUCACUUUGUCACCAGGCUUUGAGUCGCACAGAAAGUUGCUGCAAACACCAUUUUUGGAAGGGUCUUCUUUUCCUGUCUCAGGAUCAUAGUAGACAGCUCGUCUGACACACAAGCUGGCCGUUUUCCCAUCAAAAGAGUCCCCAUAUCUGGUGGAUGCAAUUGAAUAUAGACGAACAUUGUGGGGACUGCCUGGUUUCUUAGGAUUUUCACCCUGAAAUGAGUUAAGAUGUGAGGCUCUGAAGACUGAUGGUCGUAGAAAUUAUACUCAGCUAUUAGCAAGGAAGAAGACGAGCUUGUUAUUAGAAAAAUCAGAAAAUUAGGUUAAAAGCAUGAUUACAGCACAUUUUCUAUUUUCACAAUGCGAAUGAAAAGCCCAAACCACAAAAAGGUUCAGUUCUAAUAUUAACAUGCAUAAGCUUCAUUUCACGUAGCCAAGAAGUUAAUAGUACCAAUUAACAAAGCAUCUUACUGUGCAGGAGUGGACAUACAUUAAUCAUUUACAGCAUGACAGGGCAAAGACCGGAUGUAACACAGUACAAUUUUUGGGCCAACUUCUGUCUAUUGGGAUGUCAAAAGGGAAAAGUAGCAAAAAUGACAACAAAUUAAUUGAUGGAGUAGGAAAUAUUUGAGACAUGGCUGCAACUCUGUCUUUUAAUUGCCAUCAAACAAGAAAUAAGCACUCAUUCAAAUAGACAAUCAAGCAAAUGAAAGAACAUUACAGCCAGCAUAUUAAUGACAAAUCACAAAUGUCUUGCUAGUAACAACAAUGCAUGUGGUUGUCCUUCAAAAUGAAGUCCAACUAAUGGAGAUGUGUGUAAAGCAAGCAGGAAGAGAAGACAUGGAUUUCAUUCAAAAAGUAAUAUGACUGAUCAUAUAUAGAUUCAAUCAAGGCAAAACGACAAAGCUUUUCAAAAG
This 2792-nucleotide long non-coding RNA is filed under the name Nicotiana benthamiana. RNAcentral's name for it is "long non-coding RNA (NBEN_LNC021428)". The record is from RNAcentral. Lineage: Eukaryota; Viridiplantae; Streptophyta; Magnoliopsida; Solanales; Solanaceae.